RNAcentral lists this ribosomal RNA (339 nucleotides) under Bulimina sp. RNAcentral describes it as "SSU rRNA". It matches the Rfam family "Eukaryotic small subunit ribosomal RNA", at positions 1197 to 1389 of the family's 1831-position model. The record is from RNAcentral. Lineage: Eukaryota; Foraminifera; Rotaliida; Buliminidae.
GACUCAACGCGGGAAAUCUUACCGGGUCCGGACACACUGAGGAUUGACAGGCAAUAUUAGCACUUAGCUUCUUGCGACGUGUUAUGUUAAAUAUGCUAGUCCUUUCAUGAUUAUGUGAUAGGUGGUGCAUGGCCGUUCUUAGUUCGUGGAGUGAUCUGUCUGCUUAAUUGCGUUUCACCAAGGGCCUAUAAUUUUACGUGUGUUGCGGCACUUUGACCCCUCUUUUUUUAAAGAGCGCGUGUCUUGGUUUGCUUAGCUCGCACAAUUAGGUCCUGAAAGCAACGAACGUGACCGCAACCUCUUGUUGCCUUUAUACCAAACGUGCAUAUGUAAUUUUUU